UCGACGGUAGGCCGAUUCGGAGAAAAGUAC
This 30-nucleotide small RNA is filed under the name Bombyx mori (domestic silkworm). Its description in RNAcentral is "ovarian small RNA-28320". Lineage: Eukaryota; Metazoa; Arthropoda; Insecta; Lepidoptera; Bombycidae. The record is from RNAcentral.